This 460-nucleotide ribosomal RNA is filed under the name uncultured bacterium. Its description in RNAcentral is "partial 16S ribosomal RNA". It matches the Rfam family "Bacterial small subunit ribosomal RNA", at positions 338 to 795 of the family's 1533-position model. The record is from RNAcentral.
CCUACGGGAGGCAGCAGUGAGGAAUAUUGGUCAAUGGACGCAAGUCUGAACCAGCCAUGCCGCGUGCAGGAAGACGGCUCUAUGAGUUGUAAACUGCUUUUGUACGAGGGUAAACGCAGAUACGCGUAUCUGUCUGAAAGUAUCGUACGAAUAAGGAUCGGCUAACUCCGUGCCAGCAGCCGCGGUAAUACGGAGGAUUCAAGCGUUAUCCGGAUUUAGUGGGUUUAAAGGGUGCGUAGGCGGUCGGAUAAGUUAGAGGUGAAAUCCCGAGGCGCAACUUCGGAAUUGCCUCUGAUACUGUUCGGCUAGAGAGUAGUUGCGGUAGGCGGAAUGUAUGGUGUAGGGGUGAAAUGCUUAGAGAUCAUACAGAACACUGAUUGCGAAGGCAGCUUACCAAGCUACUUCUGACGUUGAGGCACGAAAGCGUGGGGAGCAAACAGGAUUAGAUACCCUUGUAGUC